RNAcentral lists this ribosomal RNA (440 nucleotides) under uncultured bacterium. RNAcentral's name for it is "partial 16S ribosomal RNA". It matches the Rfam family "Bacterial small subunit ribosomal RNA", at positions 338 to 795 of the family's 1533-position model. The record is from RNAcentral.
CCUACGGGAGGCAGCAGUGGGGAAUAUUGCACAAUGGGGGAAACCCUGAUGCAGCGACGCCGCGUGAGUGAAGAAGUAAUUCGUUAUGUAAAGCUCUAUCAGCAGGGAAGAAAAUGACGGUACCUGAGUAAGAAGCCCCGGCUAACUACGUGCCAGCAGCCGCGGUAAUACGUAGGGGGCAAGCGUUAUCCGGAUUUACUGGGUGUAAAGGGAGCGUAGACGGCAGUGCAAGUCUGGAGUGAAAGGCGGGGGCUCAACCCCCGGACUGCUCUGGAAACUGUACGGCUGGAGUGCAGGAGAGGUAAGUGGAAUUCCUAGUGUAGCGGUGAAAUGCGUAGAUAUUAGGAGGAACACCAGUGGCGAAGGCGGCUUACUGGACUGUAACUGACGCUGAGGAGCGAAAGCGUGGGUAGCAAACAGGAUUAGAUACCCCGGUAGUC